CCUACGGGAGGCAGCAGUGGGGAAUAUUGGGCAAUGGAGGCAACUCUUACCCAGCAAUGCCGCGUGAAUGAAGAAGGUCUUCGGAUUGUAAAGUUCUUUAAUUGGGGACGAAAAUGACGGUACCUGGGGAGGAAUCUGCGUCUAACUACGUGCCAGCAGCCGCGGUAAUACGUAGGGAGCGAGCGUUGUCCGGAAUUACUGGGUGUAAAGGGAGCGUAGGCGGGGAUGCAAGUUGGGUGUCAAAACUACCGGCUCAACUGGUAGUCGCACUCAAAACUGCAGCUCUUGAGUGAAGUAGAGGCAGGCGGAAUUCCUAGUGUAGCGGUGAAAUGCGUAGAUAUUAGGAGGAACACCAGUGGCGAAGGCGGCCUGCUGGGCUUUUACUGACGCUGAGGCUCGAAAGUGUGGGGAGCAAACAGGAUUAGAUACCCCUGUAGUC
RNAcentral lists this ribosomal RNA (439 nucleotides) under uncultured bacterium. RNAcentral's name for it is "partial 16S ribosomal RNA". It matches the Rfam family "Bacterial small subunit ribosomal RNA", at positions 338 to 795 of the family's 1533-position model. The record is from RNAcentral.